GGUUAAGCGACUAAGCGUACACGGUGGAUGCCCUGGCAGUCAGAGGCGAUGAAGGACGUGCUAAUCUGCGAUAAGCGCCGGUAAGGUGAUAUGAACCGUUAUAACCGGCGAUUUCCGAAUGGGGAAACCCAGUGUGAUUCGUCACACUAUCAUUAACUGAAUCCAUAGGUUAAUGAGGCGAACCGGGGGAACUGAAACAUCUAAGUACCCCGAGGAAAAGAAAUCAACCGAGAUUCCCCCAGUAGCGGCGAGCGAACGGGGAGGAGCCCAGAGCCUGAAUCAGCAUGUGUGUUAGUGGAAGCGUCUGGAAAGGCGCGCGAUACAGGGUGACAGCCCCGUACACAAAAGCGCAUGUGCUGUGAGCUCGAUGAGUAGGGCGGGACACGUGGUAUCCUGUCUGAAUAUGGGGGGACCAUCCUCCAAGGCUAAAUACUCCUGACUGACCGAUAGUGAACCAGUACCGUGAGGGAAAGGCGAAAAGAACCCCGGCGAGGGGAGUGAAAAAGAACCUGAAACCGUGUACGUACAAGCAGUGGGAGCACAGGUUUACCUGUGUGACUGCGUACCUUUUGUAUAAUGGGUCAGCGACUUAUAUUCUGUAGCAAGGUUAACCGAAUAGGGGAGCCGGAGGGAAACCGAGUCUUAAUUGGGCGUUAAGUUGCAGGGUAUAGACCCGAAACCCGGUGAUCUAGCCAUGGGCAGGUUGAAGGUUGGGUAACACUAACUGGAGGACCGAACCGACUAAUGUUGAAAAAUUAGCGGAUGACCUGUGGCUGGGGGUGAAAGGCCAAUCAAACCGGGAGAUAGCUGGUUCUCCCCGAAAGCUAUUUAGGUAGCGCCUCGUGAACUCAUCUCCGGGGGUAGAGCACUGUUUCGGCUAGGGGGCCAUCCCGGCUUACCAACCCGAUGCAAACUGCGAAUACCGGAGAAUGUUAUCACGGGAGACACACGGCGGGUGCUAACGUCCGUCGUGAAGAGGGAAACAACCCAGACCGCCAGCUAAGGUCCCAAAGUCAUGGUUAAGUGGGAAACGAUGUGGGAAGGCCCAGACAGCCAGGAUGUUGGCUUAGAAGCAGCCAUCAUUUAAAGAAAGCGUAAUAGCUCACUGGUCGAGUCGGCCUGCGCGGAAGAUGUAACGGGGCUAAACCAUGCACCGAAGCUGCGGCAGCGACACUGUGUGUUGUUGGGUAGGGGAGCGUUCUGUAAGCCUGUGAAGGUGGCCUGUGAGGGUUGCUGGAGGUAUCAGAAGUGCGAAUGCUGACAUAAGUAACGAUAAAGCGGGUGAAAAGCCCGCUCGCCGGAAGACCAAGGGUUCCUGUCCAACGUUAAUCGGGGCAGGGUGAGUCGACCCCUAAGGCGAGGCCGAAAGGCGUAGUCGAUGGGAAACGGGUUAAUAUUCCCGUACUUGGUGUUACUGCGAAGGGGGGACGGAGAAGGCUAUGUUGGCCGGGCGACGGUUGUCCCGGUUUAAGCGUGUAGGUGUGUGUUCCAGGUAAAUCCGGUUCACUUUAACACUGAGGCGUGACGACGAGGCACUACGGUGCUGAAGCAACAAAUGCCCUGCUUCCAGGAAAAGCCUCUAAGCAUCAGGUAACAUCAAAUCGUACCCCAAACCGACACAGGUGGUCAGGUAGAGAAUACCAAGGCGCUUGAGAGAACUCGGGUGAAGGAACUAGGCAAAAUGGUGCCGUAACUUCGGGAGAAGGCACGCUGACACGUAGGUGAAGUGAUUUACUCAUGGAGCUGAAGUCAGUCGAAGAUACCAGCUGGCUGCAACUGUUUAUUAAAAACACAGCACUGUGCAAACACGAAAGUGGACGUAUACGGUGUGACGCCUGCCCGGUGCCGGAAGGUUAAUUGAUGGGGUCAGCGCAAGCGAAGCUCCUGAUCGAAGCCCCGGUAAACGGCGGCCGUAACUAUAACGGUCCUAAGGUAGCGAAAUUCCUUGUCGGGUAAGUUCCGACCUGCACGAAUGGCGUAAUGAUGGCCAGGCUGUCUCCACCCGAGACUCAGUGAAAUUGAACUCGCUGUGAAGAUGCAGUGUACCCGCGGCAAGACGGAAAGACCCCGUGAACCUUUACUAUAGCUUGACACUGAACAUUGAGCCUUGAUGUGUAGGAUAGGUGGGAGGCUUUGAAGCGUGGACGCCAGUCUGCGUGGAGCCGACCUUGAAAUACCACCCUUUAAUGUUUGAUGUUCUAACGUGGACCCGUUACCCGGGUUGCGGACAGUGUCUGGUGGGUAGUUUGACUGGGGCGGUCUCCUCCUAAAGAGUAACGGAGGAGCACGAAGGUUGGCUAAUCCUGGUCGGACAUCAGGAGGUUAGUGCAAUGGCAUAAGCCAGCUUGACUGCGAGCGUGACGGCGCGAGCAGGUGCGAAAGCAGGUCAUAGUGAUCCGGUGGUUCUGAAUGGAAGGGCCAUCGCUCAACGGAUAAAAGGUACUCCGGGGAUAACAGGCUGAUACCGCCCAAGAGUUCAUAUCGACGGCGGUGUUUGGCACCUCGAUGUCGGCUCAUCACAUCCUGGGGCUGAAGUAGGUCCCAAGGGUAUGGCUGUUCGCCAUUUAAAGUGGUACGCGAGCUGGGUUUAGAACGUCGUGAGACAGUUCGGUCCCUAUCUGCCGUGGGCGCUGGAGAACUGAGGGGGGCUGCUCCUAGUACGAGAGGACCGGAGUGGACGCAUCACUGGUGUUCGGGUUGUCAUGCCAAUGGCACUGCCCGGUAGCUAAAUGCGGAAGAGAUAAGUGCUGAAAGCAUCUAAGCACGAAACUUGCCCCGAGAUGAGUUCUCCCUGAGACUUAGAGUCUCCUGAAGGAACGUUGAAGACGACGACGUUGAUAGGCCGGGUGUGUAAGCGCAGCGAUGCGUUGAGCUAACCGGUACUAAUGAACCGUGAGGCUUAACCUU
RNAcentral lists this ribosomal RNA (2907 nucleotides) under Salmonella enterica subsp. enterica serovar Newport. RNAcentral's name for it is "23S ribosomal RNA". It matches the Rfam family "Bacterial large subunit ribosomal RNA". RNAcentral also lists the same sequence under 1 other name. The record is from RNAcentral. Lineage: Bacteria; Pseudomonadati; Pseudomonadota; Gammaproteobacteria; Enterobacterales; Enterobacteriaceae.